GGGCAUGAGGGUGAUCUGGCUGCAGUGUCUGUCAUUCCGUUGAUCACCAUGUUGAUUCAGCUGGCUACGCAGUGUCCCCUUCCUUCCUUACUGCUCCCUGUGCAUCCCUCCCAAAGCUAUGCUCGGUCAAAGAGGAAGAUCUUCCCUGAUUGAGGAGGACCAUUCUUCAGUCAAGGGUAGAGAAGUAGCUGCGUUCCCCUGAUAAAACCUCCAGACAAGCUCUCAAAAAAAACUAUUGAAAAAAAGCACAAAUGCAUGGGAAGUAUGACUUACAGAAACAU
Molecule: unclassified non-coding RNA, 281 nt
Organism: Otolemur garnettii (small-eared galago)
Lineage: Eukaryota; Metazoa; Chordata; Mammalia; Primates; Galagidae
Gene: 7SK
Rfam family: 7SK RNA
About the family: 7SK was discovered as an abundant small nuclear RNA in the mid-70s but a possible function has only recently been suggested. Two independent studies have found that 7SK RNA binds the CDK9/cyclin T complex (known as elongation factor P-TEFb). P-TEFb activates transcription by phosphorylating the C-terminal domain of RNA polymerase II.
Source: Ensembl